CAUCUGGUGACUUUGAACAGCAGUCCUGAUCAGUUUUGACCUCUGCAAGUUCAGGGGUUAGGACCGUAACCACGAGAGGACUUGAAAAUGAGCCGGAGCAGAGAGGAUCACCAAAACUAAAGAGCAUAUAAACAUGCCGACAACCAUCUGUGGAGAUCAGUGGACAAAGGGCUGGACAACGGACCGGAUCCGAAAAAACGCAUGGUUGCCAAGAAAACGGCCACUGUAAUCGAUGGGGGCUCUUGGCGGUACCAUUCUGCUCAUCUGAUGAAGGAGCACAUGGAUCAGAUUAAAACUUUGUAGACUGAGAUCAAGUCCUUGAAGGCAGACCAGCAGAACAGAAACAUUAUUGGAGGGCAGAGAUAUGGGCGACAGCUGAUGCAUUAGUCCAGAGCCAGGCGGCAUUGGUGGAGAGUCAGGUGGAGAAUGACGCGUUGAAGAGGGCGAGGAACGAGAUGGAGUCACAAUCCAUGCCAGGCACACCUGUGAGCUCUGGAACUCUACCUCCGACAGGCAGAGUCAACAUACCUGGUGGGUUCAUUAGGUCGUCGUUUCAACCUGACAUUUCCAUUCCUCUUCUGACAACAGAACUUGACCAACUGCUCACCAGAUACAGCAAGGGCCGUCCGGACCAUUAUGCUGUUCUGCUAUAGCACAAUAAACAAAUGCAGC
RNAcentral lists this long non-coding RNA (672 nucleotides) under Salmo salar (Atlantic salmon). RNAcentral describes it as "lncRNA (ENSSSAG00000082873.1)". The record is from RNAcentral. Lineage: Eukaryota; Metazoa; Chordata; Actinopteri; Salmoniformes; Salmonidae.